GACAAACGCUGGCGGCGUGCCUAAUACAUGCAAGUCGAGCGAGUCUGCCUUGAAGAUCGGAGUGCUUGCACUCUGUGAAACAAGAUACAGGCUAGCGGCGGACGGGUGAGUAACACGUGGGUAACCUGCCCAAGAGAUCGGGAUAACACCUGGAAACAGAUGCUAAUACCGGAUAACAACAGAUGAUGCCUAUCAACUGUUUAAAAGAUGGUUCUGCUAUCACUCUUGGAUGGACCUGCGGUGCAUUAGCUAGUUGGUAGGGUAACGGCCUACCAAGGCGAUGAUGCAUAGCCGAGUUGAGAGACUGAUCGGCCACAUUGGGACUGAGACACGGCCCAAACUCCUACGGGAGGCAGCAGUAGGGAAUCUUCCACAAUGGACGCAAGUCUGAUGGAGCAACGCCGCGUGAGUGAAGAAGGGGUUCGGCUCGUAAAGCUCUGUUGUUGGUGAAGAAGGACAGGGGUAGUAACUGACCUUUGUUUGACGGUAAUCAAUUAGAAAGUCACGGCUAACUACGUG
Molecule: ribosomal RNA, 519 nt
Filed under: uncultured bacterium
Lineage: Bacteria
Description: partial 16S ribosomal RNA
Rfam family: Bacterial small subunit ribosomal RNA
Source: RNAcentral